CAGACUGCACAGAUGGAACAUGGAAAGGCUUUUAACAGAAAUGAAUACUUUCAGACUAGGUUUGAAGGACUGAGUAGGAGUAAACUAAAAGAGAAAAAGCAGGACAAAAGAAGCACCACUUUGGAAGCUCAAAGCCGCACUGGAAACACAGUCUUUCAGGAUGUCUGAAAGGGGCAAGUCUGUUUGUGUGGGGUAAGAAAUGCGGGGAGACAAACGGACAGUGGACAGAUUGCAGAGAGCUCUGUGUGCUGAGAGGAGGGUGCAGACCAGAUUUUUAAAUUGAGAAUGCAACAGUGAAGGAUUUCAAGCUUGGAGUGAGAGGGGAGACUACGAGCCUGCAGUGAUAAGGCAAAGCUGAAGAUUUCAGAGCCAAGGCCACACCCUACAGUUGCCAUGGAAUGGGGUGGCACAGUGGGCUUUGGAGGUAAAGUCUGCAGUUGAGAAGUUCAAGGGUAGUAAGUACUUAAUGCCAGGUCAAUCAUCCCUUUUAAGACACAGAUAUCAUCUGCAGCGUUUUCAGGAACAGCGAUAGAGAAGAAAAGCGGGCAGCUACUAGAUAUUCAAAUCUUCCACAAAUGUCAGGGAGAGAGUCAGGCAGUUGGUAGAAGAGACCUGUAAAGCUGGGUACCAUAAGCCUCAACACAGGUGUUUUUAUUUCAAGGCUGGGGAGCUGUGCUUUGGAAAAGCAAUGAGGAGGUAACAGGAAGUCUCUUCUCCUUCUAAAUCCUGUGUUCAUGGAGGAGGGUGGGUUUUCUCCUCUUGAGAGGGAGUUACAUACAAGUUUAAGGGAAAAGAGUCUGAAGUUUCCACCUAAAUGAUUCUGAAAGAAUCAGUGGUGGAGCAAGAAGAGUGAUCCCAUUUAGGCAAGGAAUCCCUGACCCUUAUCUGGCUCAGCUUAACCUGGGAGGGCACAGUCAUCACAUCAGCUGGAGGAAAGAAUGAACAUGGAUUGGAAGAGCCUGCUGGUGUUGCAGAACAACAAUCCGGAAAGCCCUUGGAGGAGGGAGGAGACUGUCAUUCACCAGCAAACCCCUGCCCCCUCACUUUUUCUUUUUUGUAAUUGGAAGUUCAGGUUGAACUGCUCUGUAGUUAUUCACCCACUUCUGCUGGUCAAAGGCCCAUGAGGAUUUAAAUGACUAAAUAGGCCAUAAAAUGCCAACCUUUUAGACGUCUAAAAAGUGUCUGCUGGAUCAAACAGUCAUCACGAACCACCCUUAGAUUCCUCUGCCACUCACUCUGCUCCCUGUGUCUGGGACACCCUGAGUCCACAGUGACUCUUUGCCAAAGUAUAAAGAAACCACCAUGUACCUUUUCAAAAAUGUCCACUUGUCCUUAAAGUCAUGAAUAAAGGAAGAGAUGGCUUCCAGAUAUGCAACUGGACUUCUGACAGCCAUCAUCCUCUAAAAUUUCCCUGUGUUUUGACUGAAGUUAUCCACCCACUUCUGCUGGUUCCUGGCUCACAUAAACAUUGAGCAAGUAACUUUCCAUUAGACCCAGAGGAUAGACUAGGAUAGAGUUCCGAGUGUCUGAAAAUUCCUGGUCCCCAACAAAACUGUGUUCUGCUCAAUAAUUUAUUUCGUAAGAAGUUAUAAUAAGUCUAGUCAUUAAAUCAAAAGAGAAAAACCUUAAUGAAGUAUAAUAUUGCUUGGUACUUGUUUUUGUCAGUUCCAUUUCUUCAUUAACUUUUUGAUUGGGAAAAUAAAGAUAAUUACACAAAUCUAUUCUCAAAUUUAGCCAUGGAUGAUUUGAUUUCUCUUUCUGUCUCUUCUGUGCCUGUGCAUACACACACACACACACACACACACACACACUCAGAGAACAGAGUUGUCUCUUUCUCUCUCUAUAUAUAUACAGAG
This 1856-nucleotide long non-coding RNA is filed under the name Homo sapiens (human). Its description in RNAcentral is "HSALNT0085001". Lineage: Eukaryota; Metazoa; Chordata; Mammalia; Primates; Hominidae. The record is from RNAcentral.